Molecule: long non-coding RNA, 1117 nt
Organism: Peromyscus eremicus (cactus mouse)
Lineage: Eukaryota; Metazoa; Chordata; Mammalia; Rodentia; Cricetidae
Exons: 3
Source: RefSeq, a predicted model, not a curated record
GACGAUGUCAGCCAUUUGGCUGAGGAGUUCCAUUUGUCCCGAUUUAAUGUCUUGCAGCGUGGCCGUUAGAUUCAUUUCUUCAUCCAAACUGAGAGCAUCCUGGUCACAGUCAUAAGAAGCCACGGUUGGGUAGCUAGUUGAGUAUGAGUGCUGGGUCUUACAUUUCUGGUAAACAUUUUUAAGCGAUCGCCUGAUCUUGUGGAGAUUCGAAACCCACACACGCCCAGCAGCAGCUCUUACUCUUUUGGUGUGAAAUCGGUACAUUUUCUUUUUCUUUCACUGAGAUACAAGACACAAAGCAAAGGGAAGCAUGGCAGGAGUCAAGGGAAGAAACAGUUCUUUUGUGUGUGUGUGGGAUGGCCUUUCUCUUCCUAUUCGCUGGAGCUCUUUCCCGGUCACAUCAUUGAAUAUAUUCCAUGGAGAACGUCAGAGGCAGCAAUGGGCAGGGUUAGGUGGUUUAACCUCUUCUAAGGCAGCCUAACUGCAGAGCUCUGUGAAUUCACAGCCCAUGGCAUGUGAUCCUUCCAGUGGUCCUCAGGGGAUGCUGAUGUCACAAUGGCCACUGGCCUAGAACGCAGGUGAGCGUAGCACAGCAGGUUAUCAACAUUUUUUUUGUCACGGGAUGGAUUUUUUUCUCACUUGUAAAAAUGAUAGAGGACUACAGAGCUUUUGUUUAGUCCCAUCGGUAUCAUCAGACACAGCAUCUGCUACAGUUCCUCAUCCCUUUUGGGGUUCACUCCUUCCUCUCCACACUCUGAGUCACCUCUGUGGUAUAGUGAGUUGCCGUGGCUUGUCUUCCUUCUGAGAUCCUAACUGUAAACUGUUGAGCAGGGACUGUGUCCUGAACUUCAUGCAUCCACCAGGAAAAUCCGAAUCGUUGCUAUGCCAUAGAUGGAGUCCAGUAUGCGUGCUUCGGAUACCCUAAGUUAAGUGCAUGUGCGGCGCAUGUCACAAGAACGGCAUUGACAUUUAUUAUGUGUGAAAAUUACAUGUUAAGAACGGCGAGGAUCCUGAGGUCUGUCUUGUCUCUGAAAUGAAGGAGCCGGGAGGCCUUUGAGGAAGCUUUUAAAUAAAGAUGGUGGGCUCACACAUUGAAGUAAGAGUUCCCAGAAAAGAC